CAGAGUUAGGGAGGGAAGGGGUGACUAGUGACAGAGGGAGGGGGUGACUAGGGACAGUCACCACCUCCCUCACUCUGUCACUGUGUCACCCCCUCCCUCUGUCACCAGUCAUCCCUUCCUUCCCUCACUCUGU
Molecule: non-coding RNA, 133 nt
Organism: Pelobates cultripes (western spadefoot toad)
Lineage: Eukaryota; Metazoa; Chordata; Amphibia; Anura; Pelobatidae
Source: the annotation of a GenBank genome assembly